Molecule: ribosomal RNA, 301 nt
Filed under: uncultured bacterium
Lineage: Bacteria
Description: partial 16S ribosomal RNA
Rfam family: Bacterial small subunit ribosomal RNA
Source: RNAcentral
CAGCCGCCGCGGGAAUACAGAGGGUGCGAGCGUUAAUCGGAUUUACUGGGCGUAAAGCGUGCGUAGGCGGCUUCUUAAGUCGGAUGUGAAAUCCCUGAGCUUAACUUAGGAAUUGCAUUCGAUACUGGGAAGCUAGAGUAUGGGAGAGGAUGGUAGAAUUCCAGGUGUAGUGGUGAAAUGCGUAGAGAUCUGGAGGAAUACCGAUGGCGAAGGCAGCCAUCUGGCCUAAUACUGACGCUGAGGUACGAAAGCAUGGGGAGCAAACAGGAUUAGAUACCCGUGUAGUCCCUGUCUCUUAUAC